UUGGCUGCCAAAGUGUUUGAGUCCAUUGGCAAGUUUGGCCUGGUCUUAGCCGUUGCAGGAGGUGUGGUAAACUCUGCCUUAUAUAAUGUGGAUGCUGGGCACAGAGCUGCGAUCUUUGACCAAUUCCAUGGAGUACAGGACAUUGUAGUAGGGGAAGGGACUCACUUUCUCAUCCCAUGGGUACAGAAACCAAUUAUCUUUGCUGUUCUCGACCACGUAAUGCUCCAGUCAUCACUGGUAGCAAAGAUUUAUAGAUUGUCAAUAUCACACGGCGGAUCCUCUUCCGGCCUAUCGCUAGCCAACUUCCUCAUAUCUUCACCAGCAUCGGAGAGGACUAUGAUGAGCGUGUGCUGCCGUCCAUCACUACCAAAUCAAGUCAGUGGUGGCACGCUUUGAUGCUGGAGAACUAAUCACCCAGAGAGAGCUGGUCUCCAGGCAGGUGAGCGACGACCUUACGGAGCGAGCAGCCACCUUUGGGUUCAUCCUGGACUACGUGUCCUUGACACAUCUGACUUUCAGGAAGGAGUUCACAGAAGCCGUGGAAGCCAAAAAGGUGGCUCAGCAGGAAGCAGAGAGGGCCAGAUCUGUGGUGGAAAAGGCUGAGCAGAGGAAAAAGGCGGCCAUCAUCUCUGCUGAGGGUGACUCUAAGGCAGCCGAGCUGAUCACCAACUCACUGGCCACCGCAGGGGACAGCCUGAUCGAGCUGUGUAAGCUGGAAGUCGUGGAGGACAUUGCAUACCAGCUCUCGCUCUCGGAAUAUCACCUACCUGCCAGCAGGGCAGUCCGUGCCCCUCCAGCUGCCCCAG
Molecule: long non-coding RNA, 806 nt
Filed under: Homo sapiens (human)
Lineage: Eukaryota; Metazoa; Chordata; Mammalia; Primates; Hominidae
Description: non-protein coding lnc-ALKBH3-5:1
Source: RNAcentral